RNAcentral lists this ribosomal RNA (497 nucleotides) under uncultured bacterium. RNAcentral describes it as "partial 16S ribosomal RNA". It matches the Rfam family "Bacterial small subunit ribosomal RNA", at positions 28 to 507 of the family's 1533-position model. The record is from RNAcentral.
GUUGAACGCUGGCGGCAGGCCUAACACAUGCAAGUCGAGCGGAUGAAGGGAGAUUGCGCCUGGAUUCAGCUACGGACGGGUGAGUAAUGCCUAGGAAUCUACCUGGUAGUGGGGGCUGACGUAAGGACGGGGACGCUAAUACCGCAUAGGUCAAGAGGGUGAAAGGGAGGGAUCUUCGGACCUCGAGCUAUCAGCUGAGACUAAUACAGGGUACCUAGCUGGAUUAGCUAGUUGGUAAGGUAACGGCCUACCAAGGCGACGAUGCAUAGCCGACCUGAGAGGAUGAUCAGUCACACUGGAACUGAGACACGGUCCAGACUCCUACGGGAGGCAGCAGUAGGGAAUAUUGGGCAAUGGGCGAAAGCCUGACCCAGCCAUGCCGCGUGUGUGAAGAAGGUCUUCGGAUUGUAAAGCACUUUUAGUUGGGAGGAAGAGAAGUAUGUUAAUAUGUUGCUGUUUUGACGUUACCAACACAAUAAGCACCGGCUAACUUCGUG